AACGAACGCUGGCGGCAUGCCUAACACAUGCAAGUCGAACGAGAUCUUCGGGUCUAGUGGCGCACGGGUGCGUAACGCGUGGGAAUCUGCCCUUUGGUUCGGAAUAACAGUUGGAAACGACUGCUAAUACCGGAUGAUGACUAAAGUCCAAAGAUUUAUCGCCAGAGGAUGAGCCCGCGUAGGAUUAGCUAGUUGGGGUGGUAAAGGCGCACCAAGGCGACGAUCCUUAGCUGGUCUGAGAGGAUGAUCAGCCACACUGGGACUGAGACACGGCCCAGACUCCUACGGGAGGCAGCAGUGGGGAAUAUUGGACAAUGGGCGAAAGCCUGAUCCAGCAAUGCCGCGUGAGUGAUGAAGGCCUUAGGGUUGUAAAGCUCUUUUACCCGGGAUGAUAAUGACAGUACCGGGAGAAUAAGCUCCGGCUAACUCCGUGCCAGCCGCCGCGGUAA
Molecule: ribosomal RNA, 449 nt
Filed under: uncultured bacterium
Lineage: Bacteria
Description: partial 16S ribosomal RNA
Rfam family: Bacterial small subunit ribosomal RNA
Source: RNAcentral